UGGGGAAUAUUGCACAAUGGAGGGAACUCUGAUGCAGCGACGCCGCGUGAACGAAGAAGGCUUUCGAGCCGUAAAGUUCUUUUAUAUGGGAAGAUAAUGACGGUACCAUAAGAAAAAGCCCCGGCUAACUACGUGCCAGCAGCCGCGGUAAUACGUAGGGGGCUAGCGUUGUCCGGAAUCACUGGGCGUAAAGGGUUCGCAGGCGGAAAUGCAAGUCAGGUGUAAAAGGCAGUAGCUUAACUACUGUAAGCAUUUGAAACUGCAUAUCUUGAGAAGAGUAGAGGUAAGUGGAAUUUUUAGUGUAGCGGUGAAAUGCGUAGAUAUUAAAAAGAAUACCGGUGGCGAAGGCGACUUACUGGGCUCAUUCUGACGCUGAGGAACGAAAGCGUGGGUAGCAAACAGG
This 403-nucleotide ribosomal RNA is filed under the name bacterium. RNAcentral's name for it is "partial 16S ribosomal RNA". It matches the Rfam family "Bacterial small subunit ribosomal RNA", at positions 355 to 776 of the family's 1533-position model. RNAcentral also lists the same sequence under 2 other names. The record is from RNAcentral.